GACGAACGCUGGCGGCGUGCUUAACACAUGCAAGUCGAACGGAAAGGCCCUGCUUUUGUGGGGCGCUCGAGUGGCGAACGGGUGAGUAAAACGCGUGUAACCUGCCCCUGACUUUGGGAUAACACCAGGAAACUGGGGCUCAUACCGGAUAGGAGAUUCUGCUGCAUGGGGGGGGUUGGAAAGUUUCGGCGGUUGGGGAUGGUCUCGCGGCUUAUCAGCUUGUUGGUGGGGUAGUGCCUUACCAAGGCUUCGAAGGGUAGCCGGCCUGAGAGGGUGACCGGCCACAUUGGGCCUGCGAUACGCCCCAGACGCGUACGGGAGGCAACGGGCGGGAGUAUUGCGGAAUGGGCGGGAGCCAGAUACAGCAACGCCGCGAUCGGGAUGACGGCCUUCGGGUUGUAAACCGCUUUCGCCUGUGACGAAGCGUGAGUGACGGUAAUUGGUAAAGAAGCACCGGCUAACUACGUG
This 468-nucleotide ribosomal RNA is filed under the name uncultured bacterium. RNAcentral's name for it is "partial 16S ribosomal RNA". It matches the Rfam family "Bacterial small subunit ribosomal RNA", at positions 28 to 507 of the family's 1533-position model. The record is from RNAcentral.